GACGAACGCUGGCGGCGUGCUUAACACAUGCAAGUCGAGCGGUAAGGCCCUUUCGGGGGUACACGAGCGGCGAACGGGUGAGUAACACGUGGGUGACCUGCCCUCAGCUCUGGGAUAAGCCUGGGAAACCGGGUCUAAUACCGGAUAUGACUCCAUGACGCAUGUUGUGGGGUGGAAAGCCUUGUGCGGCUGAGGAUGGGCCCGCGGCCUAUCAGCUUGUUGGUGGGGUGAUGGCCUACCAAGGCGACGACGGGUAGCCGGCCUGAGAGGGCGACCGGCCACACUGGGACUGAGACACGGCCCAGACUCCUACGGGAGGCAGCAGUGGGGAAGUCUUGCGCAAUGGGCGAAAGCCUGACGCAGCGACGCCGCGUGAGGGAUGACGG
This 386-nucleotide ribosomal RNA is filed under the name uncultured bacterium. Its description in RNAcentral is "bacterial SSU rRNA". It matches the Rfam family "Bacterial small subunit ribosomal RNA", at positions 28 to 414 of the family's 1533-position model. The record is from RNAcentral.